GCUGGCGGCGUGCUUAACACAUGCAAGUCAUGGGGGUCCGCAAGGACAACCGGCGAACGGGUGCGUAACACGUGAGCGACUUGCCUGAGUGCGGGGGAUAGCCGGCCCAACGGCCGGGUAAUACCGCAUACGCUUUUUCGAGGGCAUCCUUGGGAAAGGAAACCUCCGGGGCACUCAGAGGGGCUCGCGGCCUAUCAGCUAGUUGGCGGGGUAAUGGCCCACCAAGGCGACGACGGGUAGCUGGUCUGAGAGGAUGGCCAGCCACAUUGGGACUGAGAGACGGCCCAGACUCCUACGGGAGGCAGCAGUGGGGAAUCUUGCGCAAUGGCCGAAAGGCUGACGCAGCGACGCCGCGUGUGGGAGGAAGCUCUUCGGGGUGUAAACCACUGUUGCCCGGGACGAACGAUGAGUUUUUACUCAUGUGACGGUACCGGGUGAGGAAGCACCGGCUAACUCUGUGCCA
Molecule: ribosomal RNA, 463 nt
Filed under: uncultured soil bacterium
Lineage: Bacteria
Description: bacterial SSU rRNA
Rfam family: Bacterial small subunit ribosomal RNA
Source: RNAcentral